AGAGUUUGAUCCUGGCUCAGGACGAACGCUGGCGGCGUGCCUAAUACAUGCAAGUAGAACGCUGAAGAGAGGAGCUUGCUCUUCUUGGAUGAGUUGCGAACGGGUGAGUAACGCGUAGGUAACCUGCCUUGUAGCGGGGGAUAACUAUUGGAAACGAUAGCUAAUACCGCAUAACAAUGGAUGACACAUGUCAUUUAUUUGAAAGGGGCAAUUGUUCCACUACAAGAUGGACCUGCGUUGUAUUAGCUAGUAGGUGAGGUAAUGGCUCACCUAGGCGGCGAUACAUAGCCGACCUGAGAGGGUGAUCGGCCACACUGGGACUGAGACACGGCCCAGACUCCUACGGGAGGCAGCAGUAGGGAAUCUUCGGCAAUGGGGGCAACCCUGACCGAGCAACGCCGCGUGAGUGAAGAAGGUUUUCGGAUCGUAAAGCUCUGUUGUAAGUCAAGAACGGGUGUGAGAGUGGAAAGUUCACACUGUGACGGUAGCUUACCAGAAAGGGACGGCUAACUACGUGCCAGCAGCCGCGGUAAUACGUAGGUCCCGAGCGUUGUCCGGAUUUAUUGGGCGUAAAGCGAGCGCAGGCGGUUUGAUAAGUCUGAAGUUAAAGGCUGUGGCUCAACCAUAGUUCGCUUUGGAAACUGUCAAACUUGAGUGCAGAAGGGGAGAGUGGAAUUCCAUGUGUAGCGGUGAAAUGCGUAGAUAUAUGGAGGAACACCGGUGGCGAAAGCGGCUCUCUGGUCUGUAACUGACGCUGAGGCUCGAAAGCGUGGGGAGCGAACAGGAUUAGAUACCCUGGUAGUCCACGCCGUAAACGAUGAGUGCUAGGUGUUGGAUCCUUUCCGGGAUUCAGUGCCGCAGCUAACGCAUUAAGCACUCCGCCUGGGGAGUACGACCGCAAGGUUGAAACUCAAAGGAAUUGACGGGGGCCCGCACAAGCGGUGGAGCAUGUGGUUUAAUUCGAGGCAACGCGAAGAACCUUACCAGGUCUUGACAUCCCGAUGCUAUUUCUAGAGAUAGAAAGUUACUUCGGUACAUCGGUGACAGGUGGUGCAUGGUUGUCGUCAGCUCGUGUCGUGAGAUGUUGGGUUAAGUCCCGCAACGAGCGCAACCCCUAUUGUUAGUUGCCAUCAUUCAGUUGGGCACUCUAGCGAGACUGCCGGUAAUAAACCGGAGGAAGGUGGGGAUGACGUCAAAUCAUCAUGCCCCUUAUGACCUGGGCUACACACGUGCUACAAUGGUUGGUACAACGAGUUGCGAGUCGGUGACGGCGAGCUAAUCUCUUAAAGCCAAUCUCAGUUCGGAUUGUAGGCUGCAACUCGCCUACAUGAAGUCGGAAUCGCUAGUAAUCGCGGAUCAGCACGCCGCGGUGAAUACGUUCCCGGGCCUUGUACACACCGCCCGUCACACCACGAGAGUUUGUAACACCCGAAGUCGGUGAGGUAACCUUUUGGAGCCAGCCGCCUAAGGUGGGACAGAUGAUUGGGGUGAAGUCGUAACAAGGUA
This 1506-nucleotide ribosomal RNA is filed under the name metagenome. RNAcentral's name for it is "bacterial SSU rRNA". It matches the Rfam family "Bacterial small subunit ribosomal RNA". The record is from RNAcentral.